UGACCCUACGGGGCGCAGCAGUGGGGAAUAUUGCACAAUGGGGGGAACCCUGAUGCAGCGACGCCGCGUGAGUGAAGAAGUAUUUCGGUAUGUAAAGCUCUAUCAGCAGGGAAGAAAAUGACGGUACCUGACUAAGAAGCCCCGGCUAACUACGUGCCUGCAGCCGCGGUAAUACGUAGGGGGCAAGCGUUAUCCGGAUUUACUGGGUGUAAAGGGAGCGUAGGCGGUAAUGCAAGUCAGAAGUGAAAGCCCGGGGCUCAACUCCGGGACUGCUUUUGAAACUGUGUUGCUAGAUUGCAGGAGAG
Molecule: ribosomal RNA, 305 nt
Filed under: uncultured bacterium
Lineage: Bacteria
Description: bacterial SSU rRNA
Rfam family: Bacterial small subunit ribosomal RNA
Source: RNAcentral